RNAcentral lists this ribosomal RNA (118 nucleotides) under Pteropus alecto (black flying fox). The record is from RNAcentral. Lineage: Eukaryota; Metazoa; Chordata; Mammalia; Chiroptera; Pteropodidae.
UCUACAGCCAUACCACCCUGAACACUCCCAAUCCCGUUUUAUCUCGGAAGCUAAGCAGGGUGGGGCCUGGUUAGUACUUGGCUGGGAGACCACCUAGGAAGAUCAGGUGCUGUUAGGU